UACGUAGGCAGCGAGCGUUGUUCGGAAUUACUGGGCGUAAAGAGUGUGUAGGCGGUGCUCUAAGUUCGGUGUGAAAUCUCCUGGCUUAACUGGGAGGGUGCGCCGAAAACUGGAGUGCUCGAGCGUGGGAGAGGAAAGCGGAAUUCCUGGUGUAGCGGUGAAAUGCGUAGAUAUCAGGAGGAACACCUGUGGUGUAGACGGCUUUCUGGACCAUUGCUGACGCUGAGACACGAAAGCGUGGGUAGCAAACAGG
RNAcentral lists this ribosomal RNA (253 nucleotides) under uncultured bacterium. RNAcentral's name for it is "partial 16S ribosomal RNA". It matches the Rfam family "Bacterial small subunit ribosomal RNA", at positions 524 to 776 of the family's 1533-position model. The record is from RNAcentral.